Molecule: ribosomal RNA, 1522 nt
Filed under: metagenome
Description: bacterial SSU rRNA
Rfam family: Bacterial small subunit ribosomal RNA
Source: RNAcentral
AGAGUUUGAUCAUGGCUCAGAUUGAACGCUGGCGGCAGGCCUAACACAUGCAAGUCGAACGGUAACAGGAAGAAGCUUGCUUCUUUGCUGACGAGUGGCGGACGGGUGAGUAAUGUCUGGGAAACUGCCUGAUGGAGGGGGAUAACUACUGGAAACGGUAGCUAAUACCGCAUAACGUCGCAAGACCAAAGAGGGGGACCUUCGGGCCUCUUGCCAUCGGAUGUGCCCAGAUGGGAUUAGCUAGUAGGUGGGGUAACGGCUCACCUAGGCGACGAUCCCUAGCUGGUCUGAGAGGAUGACCAGCCACACUGGAACUGAGACACGGUCCAGACUCCUACGGGAGGCAGCAGUGGGGAAUAUUGCACAAUGGACGCAAGCCUGAUGCAGCCAUGCCGCGUGUAUGAAGAAGGCCUUCGGGUUGCAAAGUACUUUCAGCGGGGAGGAAGGGAGUAAAGUUAAUACCUUUGCUCAUUGACGUUACCCGCAGAAGAAGCACCGGCUAACUCCGUGCCAGCAGCCGCGGUAAUACGGAGGGUGCAAGCGUUAAUCGGAAUUACUGGGCGUAAAGCGCACGCAGGCGGUUUGUUAAGUCAGAUGUGAAAUCCCCGGGCUCAACCUGGGAACUGCAUCUGAUACUGGCAAGCUUGAGUCUCGUAGAGGGGGGUAGAAUUCCAGGUGUAGCGGUGAAAUGCGUAGAGAUCUGGAGGAAUACCGGUGGCGAAGGCGGCCCCCUGAACGAAGACUGACGCUCAGGUGCGAAAGCGUGGGGAGCAAACAGGAUUAGAUACCCUGGUAGUCCACGCCGUAAACGAUGUCGACUUGGAGGUUGUGCCCUUGAGGCGUGGCUUCCGGAGCUAACGCGUUAAGUCGACCGCCUGGGGAGUACGGCCGCAAGGUUAAAACUCAAAUGAAUUGACGGGGGCCCGCACAAGCGGUGGAGCAUGUGGUUUAAUUCGAUGCAACGCGAAGAACCUUACCUGGUCUUGACAUCCACAGAACUUUCCAGAGAUGGAUUGGUGCCUUCGGGAACUGUGAGACAGGUGCUGCAUGGCUGUCGUCAGCUCGUGUUGUGAAAUGUUGGGUUAAGUCCCGCAACGAGCGCAACCCUUAUCUUUUGUUGCCAGCGGUCCGGCCGGGAACUCAAAGGAGACUGCCAGUGAUAAACUGGAGGAAGGUGGGGAUGACGUCAAGUCGUCAUGGCCCUUACGACCAGGGCUACACACGUGCUACAAUGGCGCAUACAAAGAGAAGCGACCUCGCGAGAGCAAGCGGACCUCAUAAAGUGCGUCGUAGUCCGGAUUGGAGUCUGCAACUCGACUCCAUGAAGUCGGAAUCGCUAGUAAUCGUGGAUUAGAAUGCCACGGUGAAUACGUUCCCGGGCCUUGUACACACCGCCCGUCACACCAUGGGAGUGGGUUGCAAAAGAAGUAGGUAGCUUAACCUUCGGGAGGGCGCUUACCACUUUGUGAUUCAUGACUGGGGUGAAGUCGAAACAAGGUAACCGUAGGGGAACCUGCGGUUG